CCUACGGGAGGCAGCAGUGAGGAAUAUUGGUCAAUGGACGAGAGUCUGAACCAGCCAAGUAGCGUGAAGGAUGACUGCCCUAUGGGUUGUAAACUUCUUUUAUAAAGGAAUAAAACGAGGCACGUGUGCCUUUUUGCAUGUACUUUGUGAAUAAGGAUCGGCUAACUCCGUGCCAGCAGCCGCGGUAAUACGUAGGAUCCGAGCGUUAUCCGGAUUUAUUGGGUUUAAAGGGAGCGUAGAUGGGGUGUUAAGUCAGUUGUUAAAGUUUGCGGCUCAACCGUAACAGUGCAAUUGAUACUGGCAGUCUUGAGUACAGUUGAGGUAGGCGGAAUUCGUGGUGUAGCGGUGAAAUGCUUAGAUAUCACGAAGAACCCCGAUUGCGAAGGCAGCUUACUAAACUGUGACUGACAUUGAUGCUCGAAAGUGUGGGUAUCAAACAGGAUUAGAUACCCUUGUAGUC
RNAcentral lists this ribosomal RNA (460 nucleotides) under uncultured bacterium. RNAcentral's name for it is "partial 16S ribosomal RNA". It matches the Rfam family "Bacterial small subunit ribosomal RNA", at positions 338 to 795 of the family's 1533-position model. The record is from RNAcentral.